UGCCAGCCGCCGCGGUAAUACGGAGGGUGCAAGCGUUAUCCGGAAUCACUGGGUUUAAAGGGUGCGUAGGCGGCGUUGUAAGUCAGAGGUGAAAUCCCACAGCUCAACUGUGGAAUUGCCUUUGAUACUGUAAUGCUUGAAUCAGGUUGAGGUCGGCGGAAUGUGGCAUGUAGCGGUGAAAUGCUUAGAUAUGCCAUAGAACACCAAUUGCGAAGGCAGCUGGCUAGACCUGUAUUGACGCUGAGGCACGAAAGCGUGGGGAGCGAACAGGAUUAGAUA
This 279-nucleotide ribosomal RNA is filed under the name uncultured bacterium. RNAcentral's name for it is "partial 16S ribosomal RNA". It matches the Rfam family "Bacterial small subunit ribosomal RNA", at positions 506 to 784 of the family's 1533-position model. The record is from RNAcentral.